RNAcentral lists this long non-coding RNA (216 nucleotides) under Elaeis guineensis (African oil palm). Its description in RNAcentral is "long non-coding RNA (EGUI_LNC000517)". Lineage: Eukaryota; Viridiplantae; Streptophyta; Magnoliopsida; Arecales; Arecaceae. The record is from RNAcentral.
UCGGUGGGAGUGCUGCGAUAGCUGCUCCCGAGGAGGAGACGGAGAUCGAUGCGGGCAUCGGCGGCUGCUCUUGGAGGGCAUCGAACGCACCGCCGGUUGCUCCGUCGACGAGCGCGGCAACCGGAUGGGUUGAAGGCUUUUGACCGCGUCCGUCAACACGGUCAUCUGCCGCACGAUCGCUGCGAUCUGCACCUCCGUGGUCACCAUGGAAUGGAG